Hyalella azteca is the source of this 1393-nucleotide long non-coding RNA. RefSeq lists it as uncharacterized. The record is from RefSeq and is a predicted model, not a curated record. The transcript has 2 exons. Lineage: Eukaryota; Metazoa; Arthropoda; Malacostraca; Amphipoda; Hyalellidae.
UCGUAGUCAACGUGUUAAUUGAGAGCAUACUGCGCUUUAUUCAAAAUUUCCUGUAGGGCAUAAAAAUGCAAGGACAUCCUUCAAUGGCACUUCUGUUGCUGUCAAUCUUACACAUCUAUUUUACAGAGACCUGUAAGAGGAUUCAUGAACUGCUGGAUAGCAAAUUUGUCUUCAUUCACGGCUAACUAGGGCAAUUGCAGUCCCUGCUUUUGUUUGUGUUUUUUUAUCAUAUGACAUUAUUGGAAAAUUUUACGUUUUAGAUUACAGCCAGGUAAGCUAUCAGCGCCAUGGCAAGAUUUAAUUAAAAAUUUAGUUUGUCAACGCUGUUCAGUAAGAAGCCAAUUUGUUCUGAACGAAGUAUCACAUAAUGGCAAAUUACAGUCUGCAGGUUUACGUAGCGCUAAUGCUACAAUAUCUUUUUGUCUCCCAUUAGCUGGAUUUAAGGUUACAUUCAUUCUUUCAUAAAAUUUAAAUGGCACUUAUGUUGUUGCCUUAUUUGCCGUUUUGACUUGGUUCAGUAUUUGUUAAUGAUUAUGGUUAAAAUUAUGAAAAAAAAAAUUUCAAAACUUGAGUAAACUAAGUUCACAAAACCGACUACCGCUGUAGGUAGCAAGUGGCUUUCUGAUCUACCUGCGGCUGACGUGAUAACUCGUGUAUGUACGCUUCUAGCUAUAAUUUCCCUUGUGGCUGGGUACACUUCAUCUUUCAGGUAGAAAUCCUGAAAGCUUAAGAAAACCUCAGACAAUUAACAGCUUGAACCGCUUCGUGCCUUUCCUGCCUACUAACCUUUGAAUUGUUUUCGCGUCGAACCCAUCCUUUAAUUAGAGAGGCAAUGAGGGUAAAUAAACUUUAGUUCUAAUGAAAAUAAAAAAUGCGUAGACAUUGUUGGCAAUAUAAUUAUUAACAUUUACAAAUGCUCAACGUUUCAUUCUUGCCUAUAUUUUACAUUUCCCCAUCCACACUAGUAAAUUGGUGCUUCGAUGCCGCGGUUUAACAAUCAACGCCGUAAUUAGAUCAUUAAUAACAAGUGAUCGUUUUUAAUCUUUCGAUAUUUUAAUAACAAUUUUUUUCAUCAGCUAUGACAGUAUAAUGGUUUUGUGAAGGUGAUCUCACUUAUGCUCCCUCAUCCAUCGCACGGAACGAAUUAAAUCACUUGAGUUGGCCAGAAAAUCCUAAAAAACUAAGAACUCGAGGACAAUGGGUAUUUUUAUUUCAGGCGUUCUAGCAAACAAUGAACAUACUUAGUUGCUUCCGCUGGCGCGUGGUAGCUAUUACUGUUGCUAUACUCUUAUUAUUAGUUGUUUGUAGCGAGAUAAACUGCGUUAGUAAUGGUUGAAUUGCACAUCACAAAUGAGUGAAUUGUUCGAGCUUAUUUGCAAGAAAGUGAAAACUG